UUUUGUUCGAAUUUGAUUAAGAUUUAAUAAUUAUUUUUUUAGGAUUUUAUUUGGAUAUUUUUAUGAUUGAUUAAGAUUUCAAUAAGAUUUAUUUAAAUUUUUUUUAUGAUUUAUUAAAAAGUUUUUAGAAUUUUAUUAGGAUUUAUUUUAGAAUUAUAUUAAAAUUUGAUUAAGAUUUACCUAAGAUUUAAUUAAGAUUUAU
Molecule: long non-coding RNA, 202 nt
Filed under: Physcomitrium patens
Lineage: Eukaryota; Viridiplantae; Streptophyta; Bryopsida; Funariales; Funariaceae
Description: long non-coding RNA (PPAT_LNC011761)
Source: RNAcentral